GACAGAGGUGGCGACCGUUGUUCGGAAUCACUGGGCAUAAAGCGCGUGUAGGCGGCAUUGUAAGUCGGGUGUGAAAUCCCUCGGCCGUAACCGACGGAAGUUAGUCGCUCGAAACUAACCUUCGUCUUGUAGGAGUCAGAGGGGAGGCCUGGAAGUUACCUGGUGGAGCGGUGAAAUAGCGUUGAUAUCAGGAGGAACACCGGCGGCGAAGGCGAGGCUCUGGCUGAUUUCUGACGCUGAGACGCGAAAGCU
RNAcentral lists this ribosomal RNA (252 nucleotides) under uncultured bacterium. RNAcentral describes it as "partial 16S ribosomal RNA". It matches the Rfam family "Bacterial small subunit ribosomal RNA", at positions 524 to 761 of the family's 1533-position model. The record is from RNAcentral.